AGACUCGCCCUUGGGUCCCUGUCUGACGAGCUCUAGGCAAUCUGCCCUCGUUCGGGACACAACCAUCGGUCUCACCCCUCAGUUUCUGCCAGAGAAAAAGGAAAAGUCACCGAGAGGCCUGACCCUGACGGGUGGGGGAGAUGCGCGUGCGGAGUAGCGGGAAGCGACUGAGGAGCGGGGAAUGGGCAGCAUUUGAAUGGAUGCGGGUGCCGCUGGCACCCGGGAAGACGCUGGGGGCCGGCGCUGUAGAGCCGGGCAUGGGCUGGGAUGUGUUUGGAUUCCAAUCCGGGCCUGACACCAGUUCAGUGACCUCGGGAAGUUCCCCAACCCUCCGGGCCUGUUUCCUCCCUCUGAAGUGGCGACAGUAGUAGAACCGACCUCGUAGGCUCAUCGGGAGGUCCUGAUGGGAGAACCCAUGCAACUUGCCACCAUAGAGCCAGGCCCGCGGCGGUUGGCGCCUGGUGGGUAUUAAAGACGAGUCGGGAAAGAAGAGCAGGUUGAUAGACUGGAUGCUGCUAUGGUAAUCUGCCUCAGGAAAAUGCCGGACUGUUGUUUGCAAGCUGGUUAAGUGAGCAAAUCUUGGGAAGAUUUCAAGUCAUGGAAUAAGGCCAUACCCUGUGGGUAGGGUAUAAAGGUUUCCCUCUAUAUAGUAGGUGUUCUUAUUAUCAGUCAUUCAAAGAAAAAGAGAAUCCUCACCAGAAAAUCUUGGAACAUAGAACAGAUGGAAGGUGGCACUUCUGGAUAUGCCUUUUUACAUCUGAACUUGGAAGAGUUAAGAAUUGUUGAAGGCCCUUCUCACUGAUCAGGGGAAAUAGCUUCUGUCACAGAGCUGCCUACUCCAGGAGAACCAAAAAUGAAAGUAAACACUCAUAUUUUGUAAGUCUGUUCCUCAACUUCCAUCAAUCAAGUUUAAUCUAAAUCAAGGAUUCAAACUGAGAAGCAUUUAAGGACCAAGAAAA
Molecule: long non-coding RNA, 959 nt
Filed under: Homo sapiens (human)
Lineage: Eukaryota; Metazoa; Chordata; Mammalia; Primates; Hominidae
Description: non-protein coding SLC16A1-AS1:23
Source: RNAcentral